RNAcentral lists this ribosomal RNA (1447 nucleotides) under Camponotus vitiosus. RNAcentral's name for it is "partial 28S ribosomal RNA". It matches the Rfam family "Eukaryotic large subunit ribosomal RNA", at positions 364 to 1413 of the family's 3401-position model. Lineage: Eukaryota; Metazoa; Arthropoda; Insecta; Hymenoptera; Formicidae. The record is from RNAcentral.
UUGAAAAGAACUUUGAAGAGAGAGUUCAAGAGUACGUGAAACCGUUCAGGGGUAAACCUAAGAAACCCAAAAGAUCGAACGGGGAGAUUCAUCGUCAGCGGCGCUGGCUUCGCGUCGGUGGGCGAUGUCCCGCGGAGUCCUCGCGGCUCGCGCGCGGGCACGCUACCGUGCGUCGAUGUCCGGCUGUCGUCGUCGUGCACUUCUCCCCAAGUAGAACGUCGCGACCCGCUGGGUGUCGGUCUACGGCCCGGGUGCGGUGACUGUCGCGUCGCCGGUAAAACGGCACGCGACAAACCCCCGGUCGCCCGGCCGGCUGCUCGGCGGUACGCGCAAGGUAUCAGGCCGCACUUCUACACGGUGCGUCGAGGCCGUCGCAAGCGCGCGCCACGGUACUCGGAGGUUACGGACUUUGCGCCGUCCCCGGUCCUGGCCCGCUGUUGGUUAAAGUACGGAUCACCUUCGACAGGCCUGCUAACGUCUCCCUCACGGGGGACGGAUACCGGUCGGCGACGCUACUGCUUUGGGUACUCUUAGGACCCGUCUUGAAACACGGACCAAGGAGUCUAACAUGUACGCGAGUCAUUGGGACUUGUCGCGAGACCUAAAGGCGUAAUGAAAGUGAAGGUCGGCCCUGGCCGUCGACCGAGGGAGGAUGGGCCGCGUCGCGAUGCGGCCUCGCACUCCCGGGGCGUCUCGUUCUCAACGCGAGAAGAGGCGCACCCAGAGCGUACACGUUGGGACCCGAAAGAUGGUGAACUAUGCCUGGUCAGGACGAAGUCAGGGGAAACCCUGAUGGAGGUCCGUAGCGAUUCUGACGUGCAAAUCGAUCGUCGGAACUGGGUAUAGGGGCGAAAGACUAAUCGAACCAUCUAGUAGCUGGUUCCCUCCGAAGUUUCCCUCAGGAUAGCUGGCACUCGGCCGUUCCGCACGGAACGCGCGCGAGUCUCAUCUGGUAAAGCGAAUGAUUAGAGGCCUUGGGGCCGAAACGACCUCAACCUAUUCUCAAACUUUAAAUGGGUGAGAUCUCUGGCUUUCUUGAAUUAUGAAGCCACGAGCAUCUUCGGAUCAGAGUGCCAAGUGGGCCAUUUUUGGUAAGCAGAACUGGCGCUGUGGGAUGAACCAAACGCAGAGUUAAGGCGCCCAACUCGACGCUCAUGGGACACCAUGAAAGGCGUUGGUUGCUUAAGACAGCAGGACGGUGGCCAUGGAAGUCGGAAUCCGCUAAGGAGUGUGUAACAACUCACCUGCCGAAGCAACUAGCCCUGAAAAUGGAUGGCGCUGAAGCGUCGAGCCUAUACUCUGCCGUCAGCGGCAAGUGGGGCGGCGACGGGAGCGUUGCGCGCGUCGGGCUUGCGUUUGCGGCUCUCUCGCGAUGCAAUCGUCUCCCUCGAGUCGUCACGAAGCCCUGACGAGUAGGAGGGUCGCGACGGUGAGCGCAGAAGGGUCU